CACUAUCGUUAACUGAAUACAUAGGUUAACGAGGCGAACCGGGGGAACUGAAACAUCUAAGUACCCCGAGGAAAAGAAAUCAACCGAGAUUCCCCCAGUAGCGGCGAGCGAACGGGGAGCAGCCCAGAGUCUGAAUCAGCUUGUGUGUUAGUGGAACGGUCUGGAAAGUCCGACGGUACAGGGUGAUAGUCCCGUACACCAAAAUGCACAGGUUGUGAACUCGAAGAGUAGGGCGGGACACGUGGUAUCCUGUCUGAAUAUGGGGGGACCAUCCUCCAAGGCUAAAUACUCCUGACUGACCGAUAGUGAACCAGUACCGUGAGGGAAAGGCGAAAAGAACCCCGGCGAGGGGAGUGAAAAAGAACCUGAAACCGUGUACGUACAAGCAGUGGGAGCACCUUUAUGGUGUGACUGCGUACCUUUUGUAUAAUGGGUCAGCGACUUAUAUUCUGUAGCAAGGUUAACCGUAUAGGGGAGCCGCAGGGAAACCGAGUCUUAACUGGGCGUUAAGUUGCAGGGUAUAGACCCGAAACCCGGUGAUCUAGCCAUGGGCAGGUUGAAGGUUGGGUAACACUAACUGGAGGACCGAACCGACUAAUGUUGAAAAAUUAGCGGAUGACUUGUGGCUGGGGGUGAAAGGCCAAUCAAACCGGGAGAUAGCUGGUUCUCCCCGAAAGCUAUUUAGGUAGCGCCUCGUGAACUCAUCUUCGGGGGUAGAGCACUGUUUCGGCUAGGGGGUCAUCCCGACUUACCAACCCGAUGCAAACUACGAAUACCGAAGAAUGUUAUCACGGGAGACACACGGCGGGUGCUAACGUCCGUCGUGAAGAGGGAAACAACCCAGACCGCCAGCUAAGGUCCCAAAGUCAUGGUUAAGUGGGAAACGAUGUGGGAAGGCACAGACAGCCAGGAUGUUGGCUUAGAAGCAGCCAUCAUUUAAAGAAAGCGUAAUAGCUCACUGGUCGAGUCGGCCUGCGCGGAAGAUGUAACGGGGCUAAACCAUGCACCGAAGCUGCGGCAGCGACACGAUGUGUUGUUGGGUAGGGGAGCGUUCUGUAAGCCUGCGAAGGUGGCCUGUGAGGGUUGCUGGAGGUAUCAGAAGUGCGAAUGCUGACAUAAGUAACGAUAAAGCGGGUGAAAAGCCCGCUCGCCGGAAGACCAAGGGUUCCUGUCCAACGUUAAUCGGGGCAGGGUGAGUCGACCCCUAAGGCGAGGCCGAAAGGCGUAGUCGAUGGGAAACAGGUUAAUAUUCCUGUACUUGGUGUUACUGCGAAGGGGGGACGGAGAAGGCUAUGUUAGCCGGGCGACGGUUGUCCCGGUUUAAGCAUGUAGGCUGGUUAUCCAGGCAAAUCCGGAUAAUCAAGGCUGAGGUGUGAUGACGAGGCACUACGGUGCUGAAGUAACAAAUGCCCUGCUUCCAGGAAAAGCCUCUAAGCAUCAGGUAACAUCAAAUCGUACCCCAAACCGACACAGGUGGUCAGGUAGAGAAUACCAAGGCGCUUGAGAGAACUCGGGUGAAGGAACUAGGCAAAAUGGUGCCGUAACUUCGGGAGAAGGCACGCUGGUGUGUAGGUGAAGUCCCUGCGGAUGGAGCUGAGACCAGUCGAAGAUACCAGCUGGCUGCAACUGUUUAUUAAAAACACAGCACUGUGCAAACACGAAAGUGGACGUAUACGGUGUGACGCCUGCCCGGUGCCGGAAGGUUAAUUGAUGGGGUUAUCCGUAAGGAGAAGCUCUUGAUCGAAGCCCCGGUAAACGGCGGCCGUAACUAUAACGGUCCUAAGGUAGCGAAAUUCCUUGUCGGGUAAGUUCCGACCUGCACGAAUGGCGUAAUGAUGGCCAGGCUGUCUCCACCCGAGACUCAGUGAAAUUGAACUCGCUGUGAAGAUGCAGUGUACCCGCGGCAAGACGGAAAGACCCCGUGAACCUUUACUAUAGCUUGACACUGAACAUUGAGCCUUGAUGUGUAGGAUAGGUGGGAGGCUUUGAAGCGUGGACGCCAGUCUGCGUGGAGCCAACCUUGAAAUACCACCCUUUAAUGUUUGAUGUUCUAACGUUGGCCCCUUACCGGGGUUGCGGACAGUGUCUGGUGGGUAGUUUGACUGGGGCGGUCUCCUCCCAAAGCGUAACGGAGGAGCACGAAGGUUAGCUAAUCCUGGUCGGACAUCAGGAGGUUAGUGCAAUGGCAUAAGCUAGCUUGACUGCGAGCGUGACGGCGCGAGCAGGUGCGAAAGCAGGUCAUAGUGAUCCGGUGGUUCUGAAUGGAAGGGCCAUCGCUCAACGGAUAAAAGGUACUCCGGGGAUAACAGGCUGAUACCGCCCAAGAGUUCAUAUCGACGGCGGUGUUUGGCACCUCGAUGUCGGCUCAUCACAUCCUGGGGCUGAAGUAGGUCCCAAGGGUAUGGCUGUUCGCCAUUUAAAGUGGUACGCGAGCUGGGUUUAGAACGUCGUGAGACAGUUCGGUCCCUAUCUGCCGUGGGCGCUGGAGAAUUGAGGGGGGCUGCUCCUAGUACGAGAGGACCGGAGUGGACGCAUCACUGGUGUUCGGGUUGUCAUGCCAAUGGCACUGCCCGGUAGCUAAAUGCGGAAGAGAUAAGUGCUGAAAGCAUCUAAGCACGAAACUUGCCCCGAGAUGAGUUCUCCCUGAGACUUUAAGUCUCCUGAAGGAACGUUAAAGACGAUGACGUUGAUAGGCCGGGUGUGUAAGCGCAGCGAUGCGUUGAGCUAACCGGUACUAAUGAACCGUGAGGCUUAACCUU
This 2759-nucleotide ribosomal RNA is filed under the name Klebsiella quasipneumoniae. RNAcentral's name for it is "23S ribosomal RNA". It matches the Rfam family "Bacterial large subunit ribosomal RNA". Lineage: Bacteria; Pseudomonadati; Pseudomonadota; Gammaproteobacteria; Enterobacterales; Enterobacteriaceae. The record is from RNAcentral.